Molecule: ribosomal RNA, 419 nt
Filed under: uncultured eukaryote
Lineage: Eukaryota
Description: bacterial SSU rRNA
Rfam family: Eukaryotic small subunit ribosomal RNA
Source: RNAcentral
CAAUAGCGUAUAUUAAAGUUGUUGCAGUUAAAAAGCUCGUAGUUGGAUUUCUGGGAGAGUGCCAAUGUCCGCCGAAGUGCGUGCGCAGCGGCGCUCUUUCAUCCUUCUGUUAACGGCUCUCGGCAUUCAUUUGCUGGUGUCGGGCUCAGAUAUUUUACCUUGAAAAAAUUAGAGUGUUCAAAGCAGGCCUAUGCUCUGAAUAGGUUAGCAUGGAAUAAUAGAAUAGGACUUCGGUACUAUUUUGUUGGUUUCUAGGACCGAAGUAAUGAUUAAUAGGGACAGUUGGGGGCAUUCAUAUUCCAUUGUCAGAGGUGAAAUUCUUGGAUUAACGGAAGAUGAACUACUGCGAAAGCAUCUGCCAAGGAUGUUUUCAUUGAUCAAGAACGAAAGUUAGGGGAUCGAAGACGAUCAGAUACCAU